UGUCUACAGGAGCUGUGUCCUGCUGG
RNAcentral lists this non-coding RNA (26 nucleotides) under Macaca fascicularis (crab-eating macaque). Lineage: Eukaryota; Metazoa; Chordata; Mammalia; Primates; Cercopithecidae. RNAcentral also lists the same sequence under 1 other name. The record is from RNAcentral.